CGAACGGAAAGGCCCUGCUUGCAGGGUACUCGAGUGGCGAACGGGUGAGUAACACGUGGGUGAUCUGCCCUGCACUUCGGGAUAAGCUUGGGAAACUGGGUCUAAUACCGGAUAGGAACCAUCUUUGGUGUGGUGGUUGGAAAGUUUUUUCGGUGUAGGAUGAGCUCGCGGCCUAUCAGCUUGUUGGUGGGGUAAUGGCCUACCAAGGCGGCGACGGGUAGCCGGCCUGAGAGGGUGUACGGCCACAUUGGGACUGAGACACGGCCCAGACUCCUACGGGAGGCAGCAGUGGGGAAUAUUGCACAAUGGGCGCAAGCCUGAUGCAGCGACGCCGCGUGGGGGAUGAAGGCCUUCGGGUUGUAAACUCCUUUCGCUAGGGACGAAGCUUUUUGUGACGGUACCUAGAUAAGAAGCACCGGCUAACUACGUGCCAGCAGCCGCGGUAAUACGUAGGGUGCGAGCGUUGUCCGGAAUUACUGGGCGUAAAGGGCUCGUAGGUGGUUUGUCGCGUCGUCUGUGAAAUUCUGGGGCUUAACUCCGGGCGUGCAGGCGAUACGGGCAUAACUUGAGUGCUGUAGGGGUAACUGGAAUUCCUGGUGUAGCGGUGAAAUGCGCAGAUAUCAGGAGGAACACCGAUGGCGAAGGCAGGUUACUGGGCAGUUACUGACGCUGAGGAGCGAAAG
RNAcentral lists this ribosomal RNA (683 nucleotides) under uncultured Actinomycetales bacterium. RNAcentral describes it as "bacterial SSU rRNA". It matches the Rfam family "Bacterial small subunit ribosomal RNA", at positions 63 to 759 of the family's 1533-position model. Lineage: Bacteria; Bacillati; Actinomycetota; Actinomycetes; Actinomycetales. The record is from RNAcentral.